AGUGUCGACCCUUCGGGUGGCGAAGCUAACGCGUUAAGUGUCCCGCCUGGGAAGUACGGCCGCAAGGCUAAAACUCAAAGGAAUAGACGGGGACUCACACAAGCGGUGGACCAUGUGGCUCAAUUCGACGACAAACGAGGAACCUUACCAGGGCUUGACAGGCUAGUGAAAUCCUGUAGAAAUAUGGGACUACCCACAAGGACACUAGCCCAGGUGCUGCAUGGUUGUCGUCAGCAUGUAUCUUAAGACGCACGCUUAAAUGCGGUAACAUGCGCAACCCUUACCCUAUGUUUUAUCUGUCAUAGGGGACUGCCUGGGACAACCAGGAGGAAGGCAAGGAUGACGCCAAAUCAGCAUGGCCCUUUGAUGCCCUGGGCUGCACACGUGGUACAAUGGCCGUUACAAUGGGUUGCCAAGCCGUAAGGCGGAGCUAAUCCCAUCAAAAACGGUCUCAAUUCGGAUUGAGGUCUGCAACCCGACCUCAUGAAGCCGGAAUCGCUAGUAAUCGCAUAUCAGCUAUGGUGCGAUGAAUAUGUUCCUGAGUCUUGUACUCACCGCCCGUCACACCAGGAGAGCUGACAGUACCUGAAGCACCUCGCAAGAGGAACUAAGGUAAGGUCAGUGAUAAAGGUGAAGUCGUCAAAGUAA
Molecule: ribosomal RNA, 648 nt
Filed under: Candidatus Nealsonbacteria bacterium CG15_BIG_FIL_POST_REV_8_21_14_020_37_12
Lineage: Bacteria; Candidatus Nealsoniibacteriota
Description: bacterial SSU rRNA
Rfam family: Bacterial small subunit ribosomal RNA
Source: RNAcentral